RNAcentral lists this ribosomal RNA (616 nucleotides) under Saccharomyces cerevisiae (brewer's yeast). RNAcentral's name for it is "eukaryotic LSU rRNA". It matches the Rfam family "Eukaryotic large subunit ribosomal RNA", at positions 65 to 664 of the family's 3401-position model. Lineage: Eukaryota; Fungi; Ascomycota; Saccharomycetes; Saccharomycetales; Saccharomycetaceae. The record is from RNAcentral.
CCAACCGGGAUUGCCUUAGUAACGGCGAGUGAAGCGGCAAAAGCUCAAAUUUGAAAUCUGGUACCUUCGGUGCCCGAGUUGUAAUUUGGAGAGGGCAACUUUGGGGCCGUUCCUUGUCUAUGUUCCUUGGAACAGGACGUCAUAGAGGGUGAGAAUCCCGUGUGGCGAGGAGUGCGGUUCUUUGUAAAGUGCCUUCGAAGAGUCGAGUUGUUUGGGAAUGCAGCUCUAAGUGGGUGGUAAAUUCCAUCUAAAGCUAAAUAUUGGCGAGAGACCGAUAGCGAACAAGUACAGUGAUGGAAAGAUGAAAAGAACUUUGAAAAGAGAGUGAAAAAGUACGUGAAAUUGUUGAAAGGGAAGGGCAUUUGAUCAGACAUGGUGUUUUGUGCCCUCUGCUCCUUGUGGGUAGGGGAAUCUCGCAUUUCACUGGGCCAGCAUCAGUUUUGGUGGCAGGAUAAAUCCAUAGGAAUGUAGCUUGCCUCGGUAAGUAUUAUAGCCUGUGGGAAUACUGCCAGCUGGGACUGAGGACUGCGACGUAAGUCAAGGAUGCUGGCAUAAUGGUUAUAUGCCGCCCGUCUUGAAACACGGACCUCCUGUGUGAGGGGUCCCCCAUAUAGGA